RNAcentral lists this ribosomal RNA (492 nucleotides) under uncultured bacterium. RNAcentral's name for it is "partial 16S ribosomal RNA". It matches the Rfam family "Bacterial small subunit ribosomal RNA", at positions 29 to 507 of the family's 1533-position model. The record is from RNAcentral.
AGUGAACGCUGGCGGUAGGCCUAACACAUGCAAGUCGAACGGCAGCACAGUAAGAGCUUGCUCUUACGGGUGGCGAGUGGCGGACGGGUGAGGAAUACAUCGGAAUCUACUUUUUCGUGGGGGAUAACGUAGGGAAACUUACGCUAAUACCGCAUACGACCCACGGGUGAAAGCAGGGGAUCUUCGGACCUUGCGCGAUUGAAUGAGCCGAUGUCGGAUUAGCUAGUUGGCGGGGUAAAGGCCCACCAAGGCGACGAUCCGUAGCUGGUCUGAGAGGAUGAUCAGCCACACUGGAACUGAGACGCGGUCCAGACUCCUACGGGAGGCAGCAGUGGGGAAUAUUGGACAAUGGGCGCAAGCCUGAUCCAGCCAUACCGCGUGGGUGAAGAAGGCCUUCGGGUUGUAAAGCCCUUUUGUUGGGAAAGAAAAGCAGCAGGUUAAUACCCCGCUGUUCUGACGGUACCCAAAGAAUAAGCACCGGCUAACUUCGUG